GAUGAACGCUGGCGGCGUGCCUAAUACAUGCAAGUCGAGCGAACAGACGAGGAGCUUGCUCCUCUGACGUUAGCGGCGGACGGGUGAGUAACACGUGGAUAACCUCCCUAUAAUACUGGUAUAACUUCGGGAAACCGGAGCUAAUCCCGGAUAAUAUAUUGAACCGCAUGGUUCAAUGGUGAAAGUCGGUUUUUCUGUCACUUAUCGAUGGAUCCGCGCCGCAUUAGCUAGUUGGUAAGGUAACGGCUUACCAAGGCUACGAUGCGUAGCCGACCUGAGAGGGGGAUCGGCCACACUGGAACUGAGACACGGUCCAGACUCCUACGGGAGGCAGCAGUAGGGAAUCUUCCGCAAUGGGCGAAAGCCUGACGGAGCAACGCCGCGUGAGUGAUGAAGGUCUUCGGAUCGUAAAACUCUGUUAUUAGGGAAGAACAAAUGUGUAAGUAACUAUGCACGUCUUGACGGUACCUAAUCAGAAAGCCACGGCUAACUACGUG
RNAcentral lists this ribosomal RNA (497 nucleotides) under uncultured bacterium. RNAcentral describes it as "partial 16S ribosomal RNA". It matches the Rfam family "Bacterial small subunit ribosomal RNA", at positions 28 to 507 of the family's 1533-position model. The record is from RNAcentral.